RNAcentral lists this ribosomal RNA (780 nucleotides) under uncultured bacterium. Its description in RNAcentral is "bacterial SSU rRNA". It matches the Rfam family "Bacterial small subunit ribosomal RNA", at positions 28 to 809 of the family's 1533-position model. The record is from RNAcentral.
GAUGAACGCUGGCGGCGUGCUUAACACAUGCAAGUCGAACGGGAAUUACUUUAUUGAAACUUCGGUCGAUAUGAUUUAAUUCUAGUGGCGGACGGGUGAGUAACGCGUGGGUAACCUGCCUUAUACAGGGGGAUAACAGUCAGAAAUGACUGCUAAUACCGCAUAAGCGCACAGAGCUGCAUGGCUCGGUGUGAAAAACUCCGGUGGUAUAAGAUGGACCCGCGUUGGAUUAGCUAGUUGGUGAGGUAACGGCCCACCAAGGCGACGAUCCAUAGCCGGCCUGAGAGGGUGAACGGCCACAUUGGGACUGAGACACGGCCCAGACUCCUACGGGAGGCAGUAGUGGGGAAUAUUGCACAAUGGGGGAAACCCUGAUGCAGCGACGCCGCGUGAAGGAAGAAGUAUCUCGGUAUGUAAACUUCUAUCAGCAGGGAAGAAAAUGACGGUACCUGACUAAGAAGCCCCGGCUAACUACGUGCCAGCAGCCGCGGUAAUACGUAGGGGGCAAGCGUUAUCCGGAUUUACUGGGUGUAAAGGGAGCGUAGACGGAUGGACAAGUCUGAUGUGAAAGGCUGGGGCUCAACCCCGGGACUGCAUUGGAAACUGCCCGUCUUGAGUGCCGGAGAGGUAAGCGGAAUUCCUAGUGUAGCGGUGAAAUGCGUAGAUAUUAGGAGGAACACCAGUGGCGAAGGCGGCUUACUGGACGGUAACUGACGUUGAGGCUCGAAAGCGUGGGGAGCAAACAAGAUUAGAUACCCUGGUAGUCCACGCGGUAAACGA